CAAAAAGCUAGGGGGCCGACUCUGAUGGUUAAUGCAGUCAGGCUGUGAUGCAGCCCUUGGUGUAAGAUGUUUUUGAAACUGAACCGCGAGGGUCGUGGUUCAGGACAGUCUGGUGGCAAGGCUGGAGACAGCUAACAUAUUCUCUUCAGGCUCCAAGCGUGAGUCUGAGCCUGGAGAUGGGGCCCAGUACUCUCAGCGUUCCUAACGGAUUCCCUGGGAAUUCUGAUAGCCAAGUUUGGAAAGCGUGGAAGUCAGAAUGUGAUGCAAUCGAGCAGGCUUCCACCUUGCUCGUUACAGUCGCAUUCCACACAUGCUUUCUGGUGACAACACCCACAUCACCCUAGGAACAUGGGUGUUCCUAACUUGUCAGAUCCUCAUGCACCCCGGGCCCUGGGAGGACGUUCCUGUCACUGGCUGCUUCUACCCUGAUUUCGUCCUCAGAGUAGCAGUCCCGAGGUUGAGUGUGACCCCAGAUCACCCCUCCCGUGGAGGUGCUUCUGCUGGGGAGGACCCGCAUGCUUGCUUGUGUUUACGCCUGGGGAAGCCCCUCUUGGCAAGAUGCUUGGAAGAGGCUCCAGAAGGCAGAGCUCAGAGGACGACUUGGUGUUUCAGAAGGAUUCACUUCAUGGUAGGAAAUUCUUUCCGAAGGAGAUGUCCACCAGCAGUGCCCAGAGUGAGCCCUGCCCAGAAAACCCCACCCCGCCGUCCCCGCACCUAGCACGAGGGAGCAGAACCACACUCCUGCACCUUCCGUGUUCCCGGCCCUCUACGUAAGCAAUCCCGUUGAAUCUUCCAAACAGCCCUGUUGACGUUGUCCUCGGUUUACCGAUGAAGAAUCAGGCCUGCAGAGCGUAAGUCAUUUGCCCAAGGUCACAUCUAAAAAGUAGUGAAGCCAGAUAGGUCCUGCUCUUCCCCACCUGCCCAGCUGUCCCCCACCCCAGAAUUAGAAAGUAGCAAGCUGAAGCUGCAUCUUGAUCUCCCUGAGGUGUCAUCAAGAAAACACAGGAGUCAGAGAUGAAGCCUCCAGCCACAGGGAAGUUUGACCCACCUCGUGCUCCAAAACCCGUUUGGGCGACACAAGGUGUGUUUCCCUCCUGAGUCAUGUUCACCACAUUUUGCCUUGAAAGAGAAACUGCUCGUGCAUCUAGAAGUAAACUUGCAAAGGCUCCCGUUUCAGCCUGAAAUUUUUUUUGUAAACCAUUUCAGCAAAUAAAGUGUCGGCGUUUGCAUGAGCAGCCUCCCAGCACAGAAGAGGAUGCACGGGGAUCUGACGCUAAGAGACAAGCUCUCCCACACGCGGCCCAGAGAGCCAGCGCCGCUCCCAGAACGCCCUCCCAGCGGGCUGCCUCUCCUGCGUCUUCCUUGUCACUUCCUGAGCAGGUGGAGCCGGAGCACAGAUGAGGAAACUGAGGCUCAGAGAGGUGAAGUCACUUGCUUCGAAGCACAAAGGGAUGGGAAGAAGGUUUUGACCCAGCCCCAGAUCUGUUCAUUGAGUGAAGGAAGAGACAGUGGCCAGUCCAGGGACACUGGGUCCAGCGGCAGCCUCCAGGGGCACCCUCUGCAGCGUGCUCCCUCGGGGACACGGAGAAGCCUGGCACCCUCCGAUGGCCCAGGGAGGACGGCCGGCCAGUCCCACGGUCCGACAGGAAGGAGGCACAACUCCUCGGCCCCCUAGAAAAUGGCCUGUGAGGAGGUGAUAAAGGCUAAACGAGGUCGGUCGUAGGAUGGGGCCCUAAAGCUAUAGAAGACGAAGAGACACCAGACCUUUCUCCGCCAUGUGAGGACGUCGUCCACAAGCCAAGAGGAGCGCUCACCAGGGACCACAUUGGCCAGCACCUUGAUCUUGGACUUACCAGCCUCUGGAACGCACAUCUGGAAUAUUUUUACAUAUCAUUGAGCAACAAGUAUUCUUCCACAAAGUUCUUUUAGUUUUCCUGCUUGAAAACCUGCGGCUCCCGGGAAUAGCCAUGCUUCACAAGAGGAGGAGGCUGAG
RNAcentral lists this long non-coding RNA (1993 nucleotides) under Equus caballus (horse). RNAcentral describes it as "lncRNA (ENSECAG00000049262.1)". Lineage: Eukaryota; Metazoa; Chordata; Mammalia; Perissodactyla; Equidae. The record is from RNAcentral.